This 150-nucleotide non-coding RNA is filed under the name Paraburkholderia unamae. The record is from RNAcentral. Lineage: Bacteria; Pseudomonadati; Pseudomonadota; Betaproteobacteria; Burkholderiales; Burkholderiaceae.
CCGAUUGUUUCGUCAAUCGUACCCUACCAGUGCAUGCCGGAUUGGUAACGAUCUGGUGUAAAGCCACCGGAAUAACGUAACCCGUUCCUGGAACGACGGUUCGCCCGCGAGAGGGUGUCGUUGUCUGCCAGCGUCGAGGCGGAUGAGGUG